GGACUUUGGAAGGCUGAGGCAGGCAGAUCACGAAGUCAGGAGAUCGAGACCAACCUGGCCAACAUGACAUAUCCCAAAUUCUACUGAUACAUGAAUCAAGAGAAGCUUCUCAAGUUAUAGAUCUCAGAGUAAAUAUAUAUACCAUCCUAUCCCAAUCCAUCUUGCUCUAAAUACUGCUUUUUCUGAGGCUGUCAAAAGCACAAGCUGCCAUGGUAAUGACAGGAAGAUAUGGGUGAAAUGCCAGCCCUAAUUAGAGACUUGAUUGCUCUGUAAUAACAAGGCCUGUAUUUGAUUUGGACGGUUCUGGGUUGUCAGGUAAAAUGAAUUAAAUAUGUCUGCACUUUCAUUUCAAAAUGUGAAAAAUGUGAAUGUGCAUUAUUUAUAUUGUAUUUCAUGGCUAUAAUUAAUUAUGUGUCUGUGGACAUGAUGUCCCAAAGACAGUUGAUUUUAUGUUCAAUCUGUAUGUGCAUUUGUAAAACUAAUUUGUUCUCAUUAAAAUUUUUAAGGGUUUAUUCGAGUUAAACUCAGGAGGCCUUUCUGGGUAUACAACUCACAAAAUACAAAGCAAAAGUCGAAUUUACAUUUUUUUUGCUAGUAAACUAUUCAAUGCCUGAAGCAUUGUACUAGAUAUUAUUGUAGUGAAUAUGGUGGGCUAUAAAAAUAAAGAGAAGACAUACUUCCUUUUCAGAUAGUGCUUUUAAACUUGUUUGGAAGACUUCGGUAUAAAACAAAUGAACAUAAUGCAACCUGAGCUUCUAUUACUUAGUAAAAGAACAUUGUGUUUUGUCAAAGAAAUAUUAAGUCUGUAUGAUGAGUUGAACAGUUUUUCUUGUGAAUAUCCUAUAGAAAUGUGGAAGAUAUUUUGCUUUCUAAAACACUGUUCGGAAUUUCUUCCAGUUGUAAUUUUUAAUAUUUGCUAAAUGUAUCAACCAUUAAUAUUAAAAUUUUCAAAUA
Long non-coding RNA from Homo sapiens (human), 954 nucleotides. NCBI's taxonomy places the organism in Eukaryota, Metazoa, Chordata, Mammalia, Primates, Hominidae. The record is from Ensembl.